GGACAAAGGCUGUAGAUGCACUGAAAAGGAUGGAGAACUGGAACCUGUUUAGUGAAUCUUAUGAGGACUACAAAAAUUAUACAGUUGCUCGUGACACUUUCCUUGCACAUUUGGGGGCAACCUUAUGGGGGUCAAUGAGACACAUCAUUUCUCCAUCACUUGCUGAUGGGGCAUUCCACUACUAUGAGAAAAUCUCUUUUCAGUUAUUCUUUAUCACACAGGAGAAAUUUAGAAAUAUUAAGCAGUUACCUGUUGACCUCAAAACUAUCAUGAA
RNAcentral lists this unclassified non-coding RNA (274 nucleotides) under Hevea brasiliensis (rubber tree). The record is from RNAcentral. Lineage: Eukaryota; Viridiplantae; Streptophyta; Magnoliopsida; Malpighiales; Euphorbiaceae.